RNAcentral lists this ribosomal RNA (508 nucleotides) under uncultured bacterium. RNAcentral's name for it is "partial 16S ribosomal RNA". It matches the Rfam family "Bacterial small subunit ribosomal RNA", at positions 28 to 507 of the family's 1533-position model. The record is from RNAcentral.
GACGAACGCUGGCGGCGUGCCUAACACAUGCAAGUCGAACGGUUCUUUCCUGCUGAGUUCUUGCACUCGAGUGGAAAGCGGAGGAGCGGACGGGUGAGUAACACGCGGGUACUGUACACAGUCGAGAGGGAUAAGACACUGAAACAGGAGCUAAUAACGCACAACAGUGUAGGCUUCGGGGCAUAAGAGUGAAAGGGGCUCUAGGGUGGCGUUGAUAGAUGGUGGUGCGGAGCAUUAGCUAGUUGGUGAGGUAACGGUUGACCAGGGGGACGAUGCGUAGCCGACCUGAGAGAGUGAUAGGCGCCACUGGAACUGGGACACGGCCCAGACUCCUACGGGAGGCAGCAGUAGGGAAUGUUGGGCAAUGGGCGAAAGUCUGAUCCAGCAAUGCCGCGUGUGUGAAGAAGGUUUUCGGAUCGUAAAGCUCUGUUGUUAGGGAGGAACAGCGGCAUUAGUAGCUGAAGGUCCACUGACGGUAUCUAAAGAAUAAGCAACGGCUAACUACGUG